This 468-nucleotide ribosomal RNA is filed under the name uncultured bacterium. RNAcentral describes it as "partial 16S ribosomal RNA". It matches the Rfam family "Bacterial small subunit ribosomal RNA", at positions 28 to 507 of the family's 1533-position model. The record is from RNAcentral.
GACGAACGCUGGCGGCGUGCUUAACACAUGCAAGUCGAACGGAAAGGCCCUGCUUUUGUGGGGUGCUCGAGUGGCGAACGGGUGAGUAACACGUGAGUAACCUGCCCUUGACUUUGGGAUAUCUUCAGGAAACUGGGGCUAAUACCGGAUAGGAGCUCCUGCUGCAUGGUGGGGGUUGGAAAGUUUCGGCGGUUGGGGAUGGACUCGCGGCUUAUCAGCUUGUUGGUGGGGUAGUGGCUUACCAAGGCUUUGACGGGUAGCCGGCAUGAGAGGGUGACCGGCCACAUUGGGACUGAGAUACGGCCCAGACUCCUACGGGAGGCAGCAGUGGGGAAUAUUGCACAAUGGGCGGAAGCCUGAUGCAGCAACGCCGCGUGCGGGAUGACGGCCUUCGGGUUGUAAACCGCUUUCGCCUGUGACGAAGCGUGAGUGACGGUAAUGGGUAAAGAAGCACCGGCUAACUACGUG